Myotis davidii is the source of this 75-nucleotide non-coding RNA. Lineage: Eukaryota; Metazoa; Chordata; Mammalia; Chiroptera; Vespertilionidae. The record is from Rfam.
AGUGGUUCUCGGGUGAUGUACCUUAGAAUUGGGCUCCUUCCUCUCUGGUUCCGGGUGUGUCACCCUAGAACUGCA